Molecule: ribosomal RNA, 505 nt
Filed under: uncultured bacterium
Lineage: Bacteria
Description: partial 16S ribosomal RNA
Rfam family: Bacterial small subunit ribosomal RNA
Source: RNAcentral
AGUGAACGCUGGCGGUAGGCCUAACACAUGCAAGUCGAACGGCAGCACAGAGGAGCUUGCUCCUUGGGUGGCGAGUGGCGGACGGGUGAGGAAUACAUCGGAAUCUACUCUGUCGUGGGGGAUAACGUAGGGAAACUUACGCUAAUACCGCAUACGACCUACGGGUGAAAGCAGGGGAUCUUCGGGCCUUGCGCGAUUGAAUGAGCCGAUGUCGGAUUAGCUAGUUGGCGGGGUAAAGGCCCACCAAGGCGACGAUCCGUAGCUGGUCUGAGGGGAUGAUCAGCCACACUGGAACUGAGACACGGUCCAGACUCCUACGGGAGGCAGCAGUGGGGAAUAUUGGACAAUGGCGCAAGCCUGAUCCAGCCAUACCGCGUGGGUGAAGAAGGCCUUCGGGUUGUAAAGCCCUUUUGUUGGGAAAGAAAUCCAGCUGGCUAAUACCCGGUUGGGAUGACGGUACCCAAAGAAUAAGCACCGGCUAACUUCGUGCCAGCCGCCGCCGUAA